This is a long non-coding RNA of Sciurus carolinensis (gray squirrel), 869 nucleotides long. RefSeq lists it as uncharacterized. The record is from RefSeq and is a predicted model, not a curated record. Lineage: Eukaryota; Metazoa; Chordata; Mammalia; Rodentia; Sciuridae. The transcript is spliced from 4 exons.
GGGUGAUGUAAGUCAUUGGAAAGCAGAGAUCCUGCUUCUGCUUUACACUUUUAUUAUGGAGGAAACAGGGGCUCCGGGGACUGGAACAAUUAGGAGACUUGAAAACCAGUGUGCCACACACCAGGGACGACAGCAGUCUGGCACCCCCAGAGGCACAGGAUGGGUGAACGGGAGCAUCCUGUGUCUGCCUGUCUGUCUACCUGUCAGCGCACAAGAAGCUCUCAUGACCGGUGCCAUUGCUGUUUUUAUUUGCUCUUUAUAGACCUACGUGACAGUGGAGUGUAUUUUGAGUUUGGUUGGCUCCUUGUUAGGAAGUUCUUCAACAACAGUGCUAAAAAGCUCAUGAGUAUCCUCUGCAUCGGCGUUCAAUUCAAGCUGUUCUCCAAUCACUGAUACCUUGCUACUUACCCUUUGAUCAACAGCAAAAUCCUGGGUAAAGCCUUUGAAUGUGCUCACAGAUGCCUUCAAGACUUUCUUCCAAAUGCCAUCAUGAAUUGCCGUGUGAUUUCUCCCCAUGCCGCAGUGAUGUUCUGGAUAAGAUUUAGAAUAUCAAAACUUUUCCAAAGCUCUCAGAGCCUUUGGCUAGAUUCAGUGACUUCAAUAACUUCCAUAAACAUUUGGCAUAUAAAUUAUAGCAUGAGCUGAACAAUGAACCAAAACUGUGGUGUCUUGGACUAAUGAGUGUGACUGUGUUCAGUGGCAAACACACAGUCUAUAUAUUGGGAUGCGUGUGAUUGAUAUAAUGUGAAUGCCCCAGAGCAUUUUCUGAAAUCAGAGGAACCUUGAGUGGCAUGUUGUUUUGCCUACAAUAUUCUGUGGCCUGUAGAUAAAACAGUUCAAAAAUAGUCUUCAAAACUUGCCAACCUCGU